AUGGAACUGUCGAUGAGCGGCGGCGCGCUGCGGACCUUCUCCCGCUGCGUCACCUGCCUCGCCCGCAUCGGCUCCGACCUCGUCUUCCAGGCCUACCCCGACAAGCUGGAGCUGCACACGCUCAACAGCUCGCGGUCGGCCUUCGCGUCCGUCUCCCUCACGCGCGACUUCUUCGACCACUUCCACCUCCCCGCCGACGCCGCGCCGUCGUCCACGCCGCUCCAGUGCAGCGUCCUCCUCAAGUCCGUCCUCGCUGUGCUCCGCACGCCCACCUCCGCGAUCGACCGCCUCAACGCUUCGCUCCCAAACCCCCAAGCGUCCAAGCUCGAGUUCGUCAUCCACUGCGUCAGCGGGCGUAAGAAGACGCACCGGAUCUCGUGCAGCGCGGAGUCCGACGUGCAGACUCUGGCGCUCGACCGCAACGGCUUCCCCAGCCGCCUCGCCAUACGGCCACGGGACCUCACGCGCCUGCUCUCCAAUUUCCAGUCCUCGCUGCAGGAGCUCACCGUUAUUGCCACCGAGCCUGCUGCACGGUUGCCUGGCGUCGAUGAUGGCACUGGGGGGAAGGCAGUCGAGCUCCUAAGCUACAUCGACCCGACCAAAGAUGACUACGACAGUAGGCUGCACACACAACUGUGGAUCGAUCCAGCAGAGGAGUUCUUGGAGUAUGAGCAUGCUGGGGAUCCCGUAGAUGUCACAUUCGGGGUGAAAGAAUUGAAGGCAUUUUUAACAUUUUGUGAAGGAUGUGAGGUUGAUAUUCUCCUAUUCUAUCAGAAGGCUGGCGAACCUGUACUGUUGGCUCCAAGAUUUGGAUUCGAUGAUGGAUCAAGUUCUAAUUUCGAUGUAACUCUAGUUCUAGCCACUAUGCUUGUAUCACAACUAAAUGAUGGCAGUGUUCCUCAGCAGCCACCUACAUCAGCACAUCAUGCAGAAGAACCAAGGGCUGCCGCUGCUGCACCAUCACCAGUUCCAGAAAAUGUCUCAAACCAUACAAGAAUAUGGUCAGAGCUUUCAGGUCUUACUCCCAAAAGCUUUGAAGCUAACGCAGAAAAUCGUGCCCAGAAGGAGAGAAAUGGAAGAGCUAACGUACUGAAUGACACAUCAGUGCUUCCCAAUACCAAUGCUCCCUGCAAGCUACCAGUGACAUAUAACGCAAACUAUAUAGAGCAGCCUGUGCAAAUGGAUCACUUGGAAGAGCCUCCUGAAGUUGUGGUUGAUAACCCUCGUUCGCAGCAUCACCCAAGCAACUGGGUAGGUGCCGACGAAGACGAUGAUGAUGAAGAAGAUGAGGAGCUUUUUGUCCAAACAACACCUCACUACAUGGACUAA
RNAcentral lists this ribosomal RNA (1329 nucleotides) under Triticum aestivum (bread wheat). RNAcentral describes it as "partial small subunit ribosomal RNA". The record is from RNAcentral. Lineage: Eukaryota; Viridiplantae; Streptophyta; Magnoliopsida; Poales; Poaceae.